RNAcentral lists this ribosomal RNA (377 nucleotides) under uncultured Pseudomonadota bacterium. Its description in RNAcentral is "bacterial SSU rRNA". It matches the Rfam family "Bacterial small subunit ribosomal RNA", at positions 521 to 896 of the family's 1533-position model. Lineage: Bacteria; Pseudomonadati; Pseudomonadota. The record is from RNAcentral.
UAAUACGAAAGGUGCAAGCGUUGUUCGGAUUUACUGGGCGUAAAGAGAUCGUAGGUGGUUUGUUAAGUCGGAUGUGAAAUCCCGGGGCUCAACCCCGGAACUGCAUUCGAUACUGGCAGGCUAGAGUUUGGGAGGGGUAAGCGGAAUUCCGUGUGUAGCAGUGAAAUGCGUAGAUAUACGGAGGAACACCUGAGGCGAAGGCGGCUUACUGGACCAAUACUGACACUGAGGAUCGAAAGCGUGGGUAGCAAACAGGAUUAGAUACCCUGGUAGUCCACGCCCUAAACGAUGUCAACUAGCCGUUGCGGGUAUCGACCCCUGCAGUGGCGAAGCUAACGCGAUAAGUUGACCGCCUGGGGAGUACGGUCGCAAGAUUA